This 540-nucleotide ribosomal RNA is filed under the name Triticum aestivum (bread wheat). Its description in RNAcentral is "partial small subunit ribosomal RNA". Lineage: Eukaryota; Viridiplantae; Streptophyta; Magnoliopsida; Poales; Poaceae. The record is from RNAcentral.
AUGCAGCGAACAAAGCUGCAGGUGUGGCAUUGUGGCAAAGCUCAUCGCCAAGUUAGCACAAUUUUGCCUCCAGCAGCGCCCAUAUCCCAUCACCAUAUCUCAUCCAUCCACGUGAGAAUCUCGCUUGCCCAAGUGAGGCAAACAGUCCCUGCAAAACAGAAAUCCAUGGCGGCUAUCGGCAGGAGACAACGCCCACAAAGCACAAAACCGGCAGUGCAAAGUUCAACCAAGAAGAAGCAAAACGAUGCAAACGGAACAACAACGAUGAAACGGAGCGAAAAGGUUUGUUUCCUCUUCCAAGCUCUUCCCCAGGCUAUGCAAGUCUGGACCCAAGUCUGGUACUAUGCACAGCCCGCCGCCACCCCGGCCCCCACCACGGAGGUGUGGAAACAGCGGCGACGGGCUUCGACCGACAAUUGUAAACCAACGAACCGUCUGUCAUCGACGACACGAACGAACAAAAGUCUUAAGAAAAGGAAAAGAGCCGAAUGCCGGCUAGAGUUCUUUUUUGUUUUUUUUGUUUCGACUGACGCUCAUUGA